CCUACGGGAGGCAGCAGUGGGGAAUAUUGCACAAUGGGGGAAACCCUGAUGCAGCGACGCCGCGUGAGUGAAGCAGUAAUUCGUUAUGUAAAGCCCUACCAGCAGGGAAGAAAAUGACGGUACCUGAGUAAGAAGCCCCGGCUAACUACGUGCCAGCAGCCGCGGUAAUACGUAGGGGGCAAGCGUUAUCCGGAUUUACUGGGUGUAAAGGGAGCGUAGGCGGCAGUGCAAGUCUGGAGUGAAAGGCGGGGGCUCAACCCGCGGAUUGCACUGGAAACUGGACGGCUGGAAUGCGGGAGAGGUAAGUGGAAUUCCUGGUGUAGCGGUGAAAUGCGUAGAUAUUAGGAGGAACACCAGUGGCGAAAGCGGCUUACUGGACUGUAACUGACGUUGAGGAUCGAAAGCGUGGGGAGCAAACAGGAUUAGAUACCCCUGUAGUC
This 440-nucleotide ribosomal RNA is filed under the name uncultured bacterium. Its description in RNAcentral is "partial 16S ribosomal RNA". It matches the Rfam family "Bacterial small subunit ribosomal RNA", at positions 338 to 795 of the family's 1533-position model. The record is from RNAcentral.